GCUAGCAGCCAUAUCACCCUGCCUCUACCUGCUGGCUUUUAUCUGAAGCAAAGCAGGAAUGGGCUCUGGCUGGUACCUGGGUAGGAGACCAGAUGCAGCUGAAA
Molecule: ribosomal RNA, 104 nt
Filed under: Hucho hucho (huchen)
Lineage: Eukaryota; Metazoa; Chordata; Actinopteri; Salmoniformes; Salmonidae
Source: RNAcentral